AACCAAGAAAUUUAGUCAUUCUUUUUCGGUAAAAAGACAGUUAGGCAGAAAAGAGACCAUUAGACCUUUAAUAUAGGGGUAAAAUCUAUAUACUAAAAGUUAUUUUAAUUGUGGUUAUAUUAUAGAUGCUGAAUCUGUGACAACUUUAAGGGAAACUGGGAUUGGAUACCCCACUAUUUCUAGUAGUAAAUUUAAUUUAGGUUUACCAGAGUACUACGAAUAAAAAGUUUAAAACUCAAAGAGCUUGGCGGUGUUUUAGACCUCUCAGGGGAACCUGUCUCAUAAUCGACAAUCCACGUUAGACCUGACCCUUUAUGGCAAUUCAGCCUGUAUACCGUCGUCGUCAGGUAACUUCUUAAAAUAUAGUAGUUAGCCCGAUAAUUUUAUUAAUUAAUACGUCAGAUCAAGGUGCAGCUAAUAAAAGGGAGAGGAUGGGUUACAAUUAUAGAUUUAUA
RNAcentral lists this ribosomal RNA (455 nucleotides) under Conus tabidus. RNAcentral's name for it is "partial 12S ribosomal RNA". The record is from RNAcentral. Lineage: Eukaryota; Metazoa; Mollusca; Gastropoda; Neogastropoda; Conidae.